UACGUAGGGUGCAAGCGUUAAUCGGAAUUACUGGGCGUAAAGCGUGCGCAGGCGGUUUUGUAAGACAGUGGUGAAAUCCCCGGGCUCAACCUGGGAACUGCCAUUGUGACUGCAAGGCUGGAGUGCGGCAGAGGGGGAUGGAAUUCCGCGUGUAGCAGUGAAAUGCGUAGAUAUGCGGAGGAACACCGAUGGCGAAGGCAAUCCCCUGGGCCUGCACUGACGCUCAUGCACGAAAGCGUGGGGAGCAAACAGG
Molecule: ribosomal RNA, 253 nt
Filed under: uncultured bacterium
Lineage: Bacteria
Also listed under: 1 other name
Description: partial 16S ribosomal RNA
Rfam family: Bacterial small subunit ribosomal RNA
Source: RNAcentral